Molecule: long non-coding RNA, 342 nt
Organism: Xenopus laevis (African clawed frog)
Lineage: Eukaryota; Metazoa; Chordata; Amphibia; Anura; Pipidae
Exons: 3
Source: RefSeq, a predicted model, not a curated record
UACCCUCUAUGCCUUAGGAUAAAUACUAUUAAAUGUUCAGGGACAGUGUCUGAUGGGACAAGCAGGCGCCUCAAAUCAAUGGAAGGCCCCAUGGCUCCUUUAACCUGUUCGAUGGCUUUCCAGUCACGCUACUCAUGACUGAAAAUCAAAGGAAUCAGAACUCUUUUUCUAAUUUGACUAGUCCUCCAAUUGAAAUGGAUCCCUCUGUAUUGGCAGUUCAGUAACAGAUGUUGGACAACAAGUUAUAUUCCUGCUCUACAAAUGGAUUCAGAUGAGUAGACAUGUUUCACCAUUAAUUGAGGACAGCGAAAGCCUUGGUUACAUCUGUAUUUGUUUAGUUUC